RNAcentral lists this non-coding RNA (122 nucleotides) under Corynebacterium matruchotii. RNAcentral describes it as "TPP sequence". It matches the Rfam family "TPP riboswitch aptamer (THI element)". From Rfam's summary of the family: Vitamin B(1) in its active form thiamin pyrophosphate (TPP) is an essential coenzyme that is synthesised by coupling of pyrimidine and thiazole moieties in bacteria. The previously detected thiamin-regulatory element, thi box was extended, resulting in a new, highly conserved RNA secondary structure, the THI element, which is widely distributed in eubacteria and also occurs in some archaea. Analysis of operon structures identified a large number of new candidate thiamin-regulated genes, mostly transporters, in various prokaryotic organisms. RNAcentral also lists the same sequence under 1 other name. Lineage: Bacteria; Bacillati; Actinomycetota; Actinomycetes; Mycobacteriales; Corynebacteriaceae. The record is from RNAcentral.
UUAAAAAUACACGAGUGUUCACCCCUGAUGUAGGUGGGCUGAGAUGACGCAAAACAUGGUGCGUCGAAUCGUUGAACCUGAUCCGGGUCAUACCGGCGCUAGGAAGAAAGAGAUCAUGAACA